This 253-nucleotide ribosomal RNA is filed under the name uncultured bacterium. RNAcentral describes it as "partial 16S ribosomal RNA". It matches the Rfam family "Bacterial small subunit ribosomal RNA", at positions 524 to 776 of the family's 1533-position model. The record is from RNAcentral.
UACGGAGGUUCCAAGCGUUAUCCGGAUUUAUUGGGUUUAAAGGGUGCGUAGGCGGUUUAUUAAGUCAGGGGUGAAAGACGGCAGCUUAACUGUCGCAGUGCCUUUGAUACUGAUGAACUUGAAUGUACUAGAAGUAGGCGGAAUGUGACAAGUAGCGGUGAAAUGCAUAGAUAUGUCACAGAACACCGAUUGCGAAGGCAGCUUACUAUGGUAUUAUUGACGCUGAGGCACGAAAGCGUGGGGAUCAAACAGG